GCCGGGAGUCGGGCGGACGUCGUCGUCGCCAACUUGGUCAGGUCCGGAAGGAAGCAGCCACAACGAUUUCUCGCCGGGUCGUUCCGGCUCCCACCUUC
This 98-nucleotide signal recognition particle RNA is filed under the name Nostoc sp. 3335mG. RNAcentral describes it as "signal recognition particle sRNA small type". It matches the Rfam family "Bacterial small signal recognition particle RNA". Rfam says of the family: The signal recognition particle (SRP) is a universally conserved ribonucleoprotein involved in the co-translational targeting of proteins to membranes. Archaeal SRP consists of a 7S RNA and homologues of the eukaryotic SRP19 and SRP54 proteins. In most bacteria, the SRP consists of a 4.5S RNA and the Ffh protein (a homologue of the eukaryotic SRP54 protein). RNAcentral also lists the same sequence under 1 other name. Lineage: Bacteria; Bacillati; Cyanobacteriota; Cyanophyceae; Nostocales; Nostocaceae. The record is from RNAcentral.